Molecule: ribosomal RNA, 589 nt
Filed under: uncultured bacterium
Lineage: Bacteria
Description: bacterial SSU rRNA
Rfam family: Bacterial small subunit ribosomal RNA
Source: RNAcentral
UCCUACGGGAGGCAGCAGUAGGGAAUCUUCCGCAAUGGACGAAAGUCUGACGGAGCAACGCCGCGUGAGUGAUGAAGGCUUUCGGGUCGUAAAACUCUGUUGUUAGAGAAGAACGUUGUGUAGAGUGGAAAAUUACACAAGUGACGGUAUCUAACCAGAAAGGGACGGCUAACUACGUGCCAGCAGCCGCGGUAAUACGUAGGUCCCGAGCGUUGUCCGGAUUUAUUGGGCGUAAAGCGAGCGCAGGUGGUUUAAUAAGUCUGAUGUAAAAGGCAGUGGCUCAACCAUUGUGUGCAUUGGAAACUGUUAGACUUGAGUGCAGUAGAGGAGAGUGGAAUUCCAUGUGUAGCGGUGAAAUGCGUAGAUAUAUGGAGGAACACCGGUGGCGAAAGCGGCUCUCUGGACUGUAACUGACACUGAGGCUCGAAAGCGUGGGUAGCAAACAGGAUUAGAUACCCUGGUAGUCCACGCCGUAAACGAUGAGUGCUAAGUGUUAGAGGGUUUCCGCCCUUUAGUGCUGAAGUUAACGCAUUAAGCACUCCGCCUGGGGAGUACGGCCGCAAGGCUGAAACUCAAAGGAAUUGACGGA